This 740-nucleotide ribosomal RNA is filed under the name uncultured Microvirga sp. RNAcentral describes it as "bacterial SSU rRNA". It matches the Rfam family "Bacterial small subunit ribosomal RNA", at positions 8 to 796 of the family's 1533-position model. The record is from RNAcentral. Lineage: Bacteria; Pseudomonadati; Pseudomonadota; Alphaproteobacteria; Hyphomicrobiales; Methylobacteriaceae.
AGAGUUUGAUCCUGGCUCAGAACGAACGCUGGCGGCAGGCUUAACACAUGCAAGUCGAACGCACCGCAAGGUGAGUGGCAGACGGGUGAGUAACGCGUGGGAACGUGCCCUUCAGUUCGGGAUAACCCAGGGAAACUUGGGCUAAUACCGGAUACGUGCGAGAGCAGAAAGAUUCAUCGCUGAAGGAUCGGCCCGCGUCUGAUUAGCUAGUUGGUAGGGUAAUGGCCUACCAAGGCGACGAUCAGUAGCUGGUCUGAGAGGAUGGCCAGCCAGACUGGGACUGCGACACGGCCCAGACACCUACGGGUGGCAGCAGCAAGGAAUCUUCCCCAAUGGACAAACGUCUGAGGGAGCAACGCCGCGUGGAGGACGACGGCCUUCGGGUUGUAAACUCCUUUUCUCAGGGAUGAAACGGACAGUACCUGAGGAAUCAGCCCCGGCUAACUCUGUGCCAGCAGCCGCGGUAAGACAGAGGGGGCAAGCGUUGUCCGGAUUUACUGGGCGUACAGCGCGCGCAGGCGGUGCCGUAUGUGCCAUAUGACAUCUGGGGGCUCAACCUCCAGGGGUUGUGGUACACAGCGGCGCUGGAGGGAUGGAGAGGGCAGUGGAAUUCCCGGUGGAGCGGUGAAAUGCGUAGAGAUCGGGAGGAACACCAGCGGUGCAGACGGCUGCCUGGCCAUUACCUGACGCUGAGGCGCGAUAGCGUGGGGAGCAAACGGGAUUAGAUACCCCGGUAGUCC